This 525-nucleotide long non-coding RNA is filed under the name Mytilus galloprovincialis (Mediterranean mussel). The record is from RNAcentral. Lineage: Eukaryota; Metazoa; Mollusca; Bivalvia; Mytilida; Mytilidae.
UUUUUUCCAUUUCCGAGGCGAGACCCUUAGUAUCAUAUUGAAGACUGUACUAUGUUGACAUAUUUAGUCUCAGAAAAUUUCAUAGUUACAUCGAGAACUCAUCCUGAACCAAUUUAAAAGGUAGGAAUGACGAAGAGACAACUAUCCUCCAAAAAAUGAAGUGUAUGUCCGCAAUUAUAGGCAAUCGUAAGGUAUUCAACAAAGAGAAAAACCUUUACUGUGUAGACCGCUAUAAAAGACCUCGACAUGAAAAAUGUGAAACAAAUUUGAAAUAUAUACAAUUGAGAAAAUUAACGACCUAAUCCUUUGUAAUCUGGAACAUCGGUGUUAAAGCACAACAUGAAGACACACUCUGUAAAACCAGUAGCAAAGGGAUCAAAUCAAAAAAAUACUACAUAGUUCCAAGGCACAAAAACAACUAAUAUUGAAACAUAAGACAAAAAAGAACCGGAAUGAGAGUACCCUCAGUCACUGAAAUCUGGUUUAAACCUAAUUACACUGACUAAUAAAUGAAUCAUUUGCCAC